GUCUCUAAGCAACGGAUGUCUUGGCUCCUCACACGAUGAAGAACGUGGCAUAAUGUGUUAAGUAACCGGAGUUGCAAACAUCAUGACAGGUUAAUCUUUGAAUGCAAAUUGCGCUUACCCGGGCUUCGGCCGAGGAGCAUGCGUGUAACAGUACAA
This 156-nucleotide ribosomal RNA is filed under the name Trichomonas gallinae. RNAcentral's name for it is "5.8S ribosomal RNA". It matches the Rfam family "5.8S ribosomal RNA". From Rfam's summary of the family: 5.8S ribosomal RNA (5.8S rRNA) is a component of the large subunit of the eukaryotic ribosome. The record is from RNAcentral. Lineage: Eukaryota; Parabasalia; Trichomonadida; Trichomonadidae.